GUCAACCCAUUAACCUUCUAACCCAUCAAAUUAAAUGAGUUGAUGGGUUGACUCAACUCAUUUAGUAAAUAAAUUCAUUAACCUUAGUAAAAUGAGUUGAGUCAACCCAUCAACUCAUUUAACUCUAAACUCAUUGGGUAAUGAGU
Non-coding RNA from Arabidopsis thaliana x Arabidopsis arenosa, 146 nucleotides. Lineage: Eukaryota; Viridiplantae; Streptophyta; Magnoliopsida; Brassicales; Brassicaceae. The record is from the annotation of a GenBank genome assembly.